This 301-nucleotide ribosomal RNA is filed under the name uncultured bacterium. RNAcentral describes it as "partial 16S ribosomal RNA". It matches the Rfam family "Bacterial small subunit ribosomal RNA", at positions 509 to 807 of the family's 1533-position model. The record is from RNAcentral.
CAGUAGCCGCGGUAAUACGUAGGUGGCAAGCGUUGUCCGGAUUUAUUGGGCGUAAAGCGAGCGCAGGCGGUUUCUUAAGUCUGAUGUGAAAGCCCCCGGCUCAACCGGGGAGGGUCAUUGGAAACUGGGAAACUUGAGUGCAGAAGAGGAGAGUGGAAUUCCAUGUGUAGCGGUGAAAUGCGUAGAUAUAUGGAGGAACACCAGUGGCGAAGGCGGCUCUCUGGUCUGUAACUGACGCUGAGGCUCGAAAGCGUGGGGAGCAAACAGGAUUAGAUACCCCUGUAGUCCCUGUCUCUUAUAC